Molecule: unclassified non-coding RNA, 2019 nt
Filed under: Megachile rotundata (alfalfa leafcutting bee)
Lineage: Eukaryota; Metazoa; Arthropoda; Insecta; Hymenoptera; Megachilidae
Description: rAD50-interacting protein 1, transcript variant X3
Source: RNAcentral
CCAUUUCAUAACCUCAAAUUAUUACAGUUUAGAUGCAAUUACAUUUGAGAAUAUUUCUAAUAUAAUAACAAUAUGACAGACACAAAGCAAAAGAUUUUAGAGAAAUUCAAUGCAGAAUUAGGUUCUGAUUUAGAAAGACAAAAUAAAAUAUAUGAAUUUCAUCAACGUCUUAUUGCACAGAAGAAUGAAAUUGAAAAAUCGUUAUCAAUGGCUUCAACUGAAGCUCCUUCAAAAGUAAAAGCUGUAAUAGAAAGUGUUGAGAAGAUUAAUACUGAAUUCCAAAGAUUGGAACAAACUUCUAUAGAGUUCAGAUCAAAUGUACAAGAAACAAUACAUGAAAAUGAGAGAAGUUUAAAAGUACAAGAAAUUAUCAAUUCCAUAAGUUAUUUAGAAAAAUGUUUAUCUUACUUAAAUUUUAUAAAAUAUGUUGAAGAUAUUAGUGAUGAAAUACAAUUGUGUUUAACAAUUGGAAAUGAUGAAUCAGUCAUUUCAUUGUACACAAAUCUUACAAGUAUUAGCUGCCAAUUGAGGUUGUCAGCUUGUCAUUAUCUUCAAAAUUAUAUCAAUGAAACUUUACACUACUGGCAUAAUCUCAUAAAAGACAAAUUAUCCAAAGAAUACAAUGACACAUUAAAAGCAUUGAAGUGGCCCUUCUGCGGCAAUAAUACAAAUUCGUUAAAUACAUCCAUGCCAGAAAUAUUAAACAAAUUUAAGACACUUACGAAAUAUUUAUUACAUUUACAGUUACCAGAAGAAUCUGUAAAAUCAGUGGUAACAUCUGUAUUAUUAACAGACUUUAAGCCUGUGAGUUUACCAAUUUCACUGAUGGUGCGACCUCUUAGACAAAGAUUCAUAUAUCACUUCACAGGUACAAAACUAACAAAUCGACAAGAUAAACCAGAGUGGUUUUUUACUCAGGUAUUAACAUGGAUCAAAGAUCAUGUUCAGUGGAUACAAAAGAAUAUACAACCAACUGCAAAUUCAAUAGGUUUUAAUUAUGUAGAUAUGAAGGUAGAAUUUAUGCGUGCUUUAGUGCAACUGGCAGUUGAAAAACUUCAUUCCGAAUUGUCAUUAGUGCAAUAUGAUGAUAUAUUAUUUGCUCAUUUGGUUGAUGAAGCUCUAAGUUUUGAAAGAGAAUUAAGGGAAACUUUAUUUUAUCCUUCAGCUCAACCAGCCACUGUAUUUGUUCUUACUCAAGCUCAUAUUUUUGUGAAAUGGAUUAAUAUGGAAAAAAAAUAUGCUACUGAAAAGAUGGAUGUUAUUUUAAGUUCACAUACAGCUUGGGAGAAAUUAAUAACUUCUGAUUGUGAUGACAUGAAAGUCACUGAAUGUGCAGAUGCUUUUCUCACUCUUCUUACUACAAUCUCUGAUAGAUAUAAGCAUUUACCUCAACCAGGUCAUAGGUUACAGUUUCUUGAACUCCAAUUAGAACUAAUUGAUGAUUGGAGAAUAAGGUUACUUCAAUUGUUGUGCGAAAAUUAUGAACACCUCUCAUACCAUGUAUUCUUAACAUCUCUUAUACCAUGCAUUCUUAAUACAUUACAUUAUGUUGCAACUGUCCUAGAAGAGUGGGGUGUGACAGUACAUUUCUUGCAAUUGUAUUUUUUCAAAAAACAAUUUGAAGCAGUUGAAAUAGCGACAUUAGAAGGAAAUGACAUUACUAAAAAUAUAGGGGAAGUUGAGGGCACAGUAUUUGAUGAAGCUGUAGCUCUAUUAAGAAGAUCAGAAGAAGAAUGGAUUAACGAAAUUACUGACUCUGUAGCUUUGGAUGUAAAAGCAAAAAGUAGACCAUAUAGAACAGAUAAUUACUCCAAGCGGUUACUCUAUGUUUCAAGAAUUAGCAACACAACUUAAUCUAUUACAUACUACGCUUGCUUUACCCCUAUUUCAUCAAGCUUGGAAGAAUUUGGCUUCACAAUUCGAUCAAUUUCUUUUAGAAGAAGUAGUUUUGGUAAAUCAUUUUAAUGUAGGUGGAGCUGAGCAAUUACAGCAUGAUGUUUUUAGAAAUUUGUUUCCAUU